This 383-nucleotide ribosomal RNA is filed under the name Drosophila sodomae. RNAcentral's name for it is "partial 16S ribosomal RNA". The stretch from base 259 to 383 matches the Rfam family "Bacterial large subunit ribosomal RNA", at positions 2473 to 2597 of the family's 2925-position model. The record is from RNAcentral. Lineage: Eukaryota; Metazoa; Arthropoda; Insecta; Diptera; Drosophilidae.
GAAAUAUUAACUGUUUCAUUUAAAAUUUUUGUAGAAUUUUAUUUUUUAGUCAAAAAGCUAAAAUAAAUUUAAAAGACGAGAAGACCCUAUAAAUCUUUAUAUUUUAUUUAUUUUAAUUAUAAAGAUUAUUUUUAUUAUAAUAAAUUAAAAUAUUUUAUUGGGGUGAUAUUAAAAUUUAAAAAACUUUUAAUUUUUAAAACCAUUAAUUUAUGAAUAAUUGAUCCAUUAAUAAUGAUUAAAAAUUUAAGUUACUUUAGGGAUAACAGCGUAAUUUUUUUGGAGAGUUCAUAUCGAUAAAAAAGAUUGCGACCUCGAUGUUGGAUUAAGAUAUAAUUUUGGGUGUAGCCGUUCAAAUUUUAAGUCUGUUCGACUUUUAAAUUCUU